UACGAAGGGGGCUAGCGUUGCUCGGAAUCACUGGGCGUAAAGCGCACGUAGGCGGCUCUUUAAGUCAGGGGUGAAAUCCUGGAGCUCAACUCCAGAACUGCCUUUGAUACUGGGGAUCUCGAGUCCGGAAGAGGUAAGUGGAAUUCCGAGUGUAGAGGUGAAAUUCGUAGAUAUUCGGAAGAACACCAGUGGCGAAGGCGACUUACUGGACACAUAUUGACGCUGAGGUGCGAAAGCGUGGGGAGCAAACAGG
RNAcentral lists this ribosomal RNA (253 nucleotides) under uncultured bacterium. RNAcentral's name for it is "partial 16S ribosomal RNA". It matches the Rfam family "Bacterial small subunit ribosomal RNA", at positions 524 to 776 of the family's 1533-position model. The record is from RNAcentral.